Molecule: ribosomal RNA, 253 nt
Filed under: uncultured bacterium
Lineage: Bacteria
Description: partial 16S ribosomal RNA
Rfam family: Bacterial small subunit ribosomal RNA
Source: RNAcentral
UACGGAGGAUCCAAGCGUUAUCCGGAAUCAUUGGGUUUAAAGGGUCCGUAGGCGGCUUUAUAAGUCAGUGGUGAAAUCCGGCAGCUCAACUGUCGAACUGCCAUUGAUACUGUAGGGCUUGAAUUAUUGUGAAGUAACUAGAAUAUGUAGUGUAGCGGUGAAAUGCUUAGAUAUUACAUGGAAUACCAAUUGCGAAGGCAGGUUACUAACAUUACAUUGACGCUGAUGGCCGAAAGCGUGGGGAGCGAACAGG